RNAcentral lists this ribosomal RNA (480 nucleotides) under uncultured bacterium. RNAcentral's name for it is "partial 16S ribosomal RNA". It matches the Rfam family "Bacterial small subunit ribosomal RNA", at positions 28 to 523 of the family's 1533-position model. The record is from RNAcentral.
GAUGAACGCUGGCGGCGUGCUUAACACAUGCAAGUCGAGCGAUGAAGUUUCCUUCGGGAAAUGGAUUAGCGGCGGACGGGUGAGUAACACGUGGGUAACCUGCCUCAUAGAGUGGAAUAGCCUUCCGAAAGGAAGAUUAAUACCGCAUAAUGUUGAAAGAUGGCAUCAUCAUUCAACCAAAGGAGCAAUCCGCUAUGAGAUGGACCCGCGGCGCAUUAGCUAGUUGGUGGGGUAACGGCCUACCAAGGCGACGAUGCGUAGCCGACCUGAGAGGGUGAUCGGCCACAUUGGGACUGAGACACGGCCCAGACUCCUACGGGAGGCAGCAGUGGGGAAUAUUGCACAAUGGGGGGGACCCUGAUGCAGCAACGCCGCGUGAGUGAUGAAGGUUUUCGGAUCGUAAAGCUCUGUCUUUGGGGAAGAUAAUGACGGUACCCAAGGAGGAAGCCACGGCUAACUACGUGCCAGCCGCCGCCGUAA